GUGUUUCCAACACACUUGCCCAUAGUGUCUCAUGUAUGUGAUUCUAAGCUAAAGAUGUGAGAAAAUUCCCGUAAUAAAAAAGGGAAUGCUAUAGCCUGGAUCUUUGUGUUUCCCUAGGCCCAGGCUUGUUCCCUGGAGUAGCACUACUGAGAGGUGGUGAAAACUUGACGAGGGAUUGAACUUGGGUCCUUGUGCUUAUGCAGCAGGCGGCGAAACCACUGAGCUAAAUCCCCGGCCCUCUAAUGAAAUUUCUUGGGACAGUGGAGAAGGCACAGGCUCAGAAGGGAGAUGCAAAAUAAGCAUGUCUGCUUCCUUGUUGCCCCGUUUGCAGAUGGUGACACUAGGCACAGAAGCCCGGUGGACCAACUUGGCGCAGGAAUUCAAUGAGACUCAAGUUAGGUACAAGGUAAGUGGGUUAGGUCUAUGACUAAGCGCAGGUGUCAUCAGCUCCUGGAGGCCCAGAUUUCUGCCUGAGCCAGUUUGCUUUGAAUGAAGAACGAAGCCAAGGCACCCUAAGAAACACGGCUGAGGAGCCCCAUCAUAACCUUCUUCUUGUUGUCCCCCAGGAUUAGCCAGUUACUUCCACUGAAAGUGGUGACCGGCAGGAAAGAGAAGUUAGGCAGCUCAUGUUUCCUUUCCUUCCAGUCCUUCCUUUCUCUCCAGCAGGCUGAAGAUACAGAGUGUUGUAGAACACACACCAAAAAGUAGAACUCAGGGAAUCGGGUUCAUUUUAUAAUUUUAUAAUUGGCUCAUUUUAUAAUUUCUGUAAUUUCAGUUAAAAUUGCACUGCAUGAUACAAAGAUGAGUGGUAUAAUUUACACUAAUAAUUUAAAAUUUUAAUGUGUCAUAGAAUGACAUUGACUAGCACCUAAAAACACUAUGACAAGUUGAGAGAAAGACCACGAAGGAAAGGAAAAAGCUUUGUAUUUGCAAACUUUCAGUGGCCUCCUCCUCUCUGACUGUUGAGCAAGAGGCCCUGCACACGGUCUGAGCAGCGCCCUGUGGGCUUCAGUGGCUGCUGGUGGCGUGCUGCCACGUCCUGUUCCUGGGCGCCACAGUCAUUUGCGAGCUCUUGUGUGGGUCACAGGUGCCCCCUUCUCUUGGUACUCAUCCCAGGCUGAUGGGAGGCGCCCGCCACAGCCAGGCCUGGCUGAUGUGGGAAUGAGGCGGCAGCUCAGUGGUAACUCUGCAGUGCGGUCUGUGCUUCCCUGGGGCAUCAGGCCAAGGCCAGGCUUCACUCAGACCCCAGCCCUGCCUCACUCUCCUCUCCGGACCCACUUCCCU
Molecule: long non-coding RNA, 1284 nt
Filed under: Heterocephalus glaber (naked mole-rat)
Lineage: Eukaryota; Metazoa; Chordata; Mammalia; Rodentia; Bathyergidae
Description: lncRNA (ENSHGLG00100046102.1)
Source: RNAcentral